RNAcentral lists this ribosomal RNA (1075 nucleotides) under Bipalium kewense. Its description in RNAcentral is "eukaryotic LSU rRNA". It matches the Rfam family "Eukaryotic large subunit ribosomal RNA", at positions 56 to 956 of the family's 3401-position model. Lineage: Eukaryota; Metazoa; Platyhelminthes; Tricladida; Geoplanidae. The record is from RNAcentral.
GAAAAGAAACUAACCAGGAUUCCCUUGGUAGNGGCGAACGACCUGGAAUUAGCCCAGCACCGAAUCCUGUAUCUUUGGUAUUAGGAAUUGUGGUGUAAAGGUUGUGUCUUUAGUUGCUGAGAAUACUCCAAAUUCACUUGAUUGUGAUGUUGUCCAGAGAGGGUGUUAGACCCGUUGGGGUAUACAAAGUAAUUAUUGAUGCUUCCUAUGAGUCGGAUUGUUUGAGAAUGCAGUCCAAAUUUGGUGGUAAACUCCAUCUAAGGCUAAAUACUUGUGUGAGUCCGAUAGCAAACAAGUACCGUGAGGGAAAGUUGAAAAGAACUCUGAAGAGAGAGUUAAAUAGUACGUGAAAUCGCUUAGAGGUAAACGAGUGGAGCCGAAGGAGUUGUAUAGAAUUCAGUCGAUUAUGUUUUGUACGUAAAUUAACAACAUUUUUAUGGGAGUUGUUGGUAUACAUUUUACGGAAUGUGAUUGAUGCAUUUUCUAUAUAACUAAACUGCGACCAAUAGUGUUGAUUUUCUGUCGUAAUUGUGAAGGUGAUCAAUUUUUCGGAAUUGGUUUUAUAGCUAUUUACAUGGUUAAUCAAUGUAUAGUUAAACGCGGUUGGCUAAUUUUGAUAGUUUUUGAUUUGGAUUGCUUAUUUUUAGACUAUAAAUAGACUAUUUUUAAGCAGUUUAAGUCUUUUAUUGUUGAAGGGUCAACCUAAAGUCUGCAGUCAUUAUGUAGGUUACCUACUUGUCCCGUCUUGAAACACGGACCAAGGAGUUUUAUAUGAUCGCGAGUCAAAGGGCUUUACGAAACCCCAGGGCGUAAUUAAUGUAAAGAUUCACUUUAGUGAAUUGCAAUGUGACCUCGCUGUAAAAAGCUUGUGCAACAUUGACCCGUCUAAAGAUGUUCGCAUCUGGACGGAGUUUGAGCGAUCAUGUAGAGACCCGAAAGAUGGUGAACUAUGCUUGUGCAGGUUGAAGUCAGAGGAAACCCUGAUGGAAGACCGCCGCGGUUCUGACGUGCAAAUCGAUCGUCGGACAUGAGUAUAGGGGCGAAAGACCAAUCGAGUCCAUUGNUGCAGNUNGUU